RNAcentral lists this long non-coding RNA (327 nucleotides) under Mytilus galloprovincialis (Mediterranean mussel). Lineage: Eukaryota; Metazoa; Mollusca; Bivalvia; Mytilida; Mytilidae. The record is from RNAcentral.
GGGCAGCAACCCAACAACAGGUUAUCCGAUUUAUCUGAAAAUUUCAGGGCAGAUAGAUCUUGACCUGUUACACAAGUUUACCCCAUGUCAGAUUUGCUCUAAAUGCUUUGGUUUUUGAGUUAUAAGCCAAAAACUGCAUUUUACCCCUAUGUUCUAUUUUUAGCCAUGGCGGCCAUCUUGGAUGGUUGGCCGGGUCACCGGACACAUUUUUAAACUAGAUACCCCAAUGAUGAUUUUGGCCAAGUUUGGUGUAAUUUGGCCCAGUAGUUUCAGAGGAGAAGAUUUUUGUAAAAGUUAACGACGCCAGACGACGACGGACGACAGACG